GUAAAUAUAAAUUCGAAAUAUUUGAUCACUGUUAGUUUCUACCGGCAGAUCAGCACAUUGUUUUUUCUUGCGGUGGAUUUCUUAUCAUUUUCGGGUUAAAAUAGAAGAAGCAAUAAAUUUGAAAAUUACA
This is a long non-coding RNA of Neodiprion virginianus, 130 nucleotides long. RefSeq lists it as uncharacterized. NCBI's taxonomy places the organism in Eukaryota, Metazoa, Arthropoda, Insecta, Hymenoptera, Diprionidae. The transcript is spliced from 3 exons. The record is from RefSeq and is a predicted model, not a curated record.